RNAcentral lists this ribosomal RNA (497 nucleotides) under uncultured bacterium. RNAcentral's name for it is "partial 16S ribosomal RNA". It matches the Rfam family "Bacterial small subunit ribosomal RNA", at positions 28 to 507 of the family's 1533-position model. The record is from RNAcentral.
GACGAACGCUGGCGGUGUGCCUAAUACAUGCAAGUUGAGCGAUGAAGAUUGGUGCUUGCCCCAAUUUGAAGAGCAGCGAACGGGUGAGUAACGCGUGGGGAAUCUGCCUUUGAGCGGGGGACAACAUUUGGAAACGAAUGCUAAUACCGCAUAACAACUUUAAACAUAAGUUUUAAGUUUGAAAGAUGCAAUUGCAUCACUCAAAGAUGAUCCCGCGUUGUAUUAGCUAGUUGGUGAGGUAAAGGCCCACCAAGGCGAUGAUACAUAGCCGACCUGAGAGGGUGAUCGGCCACAUGGGGACUGAGACACGGCCCAAACUCCUACGGGAGGCAGCAGUAGGGAAUCUUCGGCAAUGGACGAAAGUCUGACCGAGCAACGCCGCGUGAGUGAAGAAGGGUUUCGGAUCGUAAAACUCUGUUGGUAGAGAAGAACGUUGGUGAGAGUGGAAAGCUCAUCAAGUGACGGUAACUACCCAGAAAGGGACGGCUAACUACGUG